CCUACGGGAGGCAGCAGUGGGGAAUAUUGGGCAAUGGGCGCAAGCCUGACCCAGCAACGCCGCGUGAAGGAAGAAGGCUUUCGGGUUGUAAACUUCUUUUGUCAGGGAAGAGUAGAAGACGGUACCUGACGAAUAAGCCACGGCUAACUACGUGCCAGCAGCCGCGGUAAUACGUAGGUGGCAAGCGUUGUCCGGAUUUACUGGGUGUAAAGGGCGUGUAGCCGGGUUGACAAGUCAGAUGUGAAAUCCUGCGGCUUAACCGGAGAACUGCAUUUGAAACUGUUGAUCUUGAGUACUGGAGAGGCAGACGGAAUUCCUAGUGUAGCGGUGAAAUGCGUAGAUAUUAGGAGGAACACCAGUGGCGAAGGCGGUCUGCUGGACAGUAACUGACGGUGAGGCGCGAAAGCGUGGGGAGCAAACAGGAUUAGAUACCCCAGUAGUC
This 442-nucleotide ribosomal RNA is filed under the name uncultured bacterium. RNAcentral describes it as "partial 16S ribosomal RNA". It matches the Rfam family "Bacterial small subunit ribosomal RNA", at positions 338 to 795 of the family's 1533-position model. The record is from RNAcentral.